RNAcentral lists this ribosomal RNA (235 nucleotides) under uncultured bacterium. Its description in RNAcentral is "partial 16S ribosomal RNA". It matches the Rfam family "Bacterial small subunit ribosomal RNA", at positions 96 to 334 of the family's 1533-position model. The record is from RNAcentral.
UGGCGGACGGGUGAGUAAUGUCUGGGAAACUGCCUGAUGGAGGGGGAUAACUACUGGAAACGGUAGCUAAUACCGCAUAACGUCGCAAGACCAAAGAGGGGGACCUUAGGGCCUCUUGCCAUCGGAUGUGCCCAGAUGGGAUUAGCUUGUUGGUGGGGUAACGGCUCACCAAGGCGACGAUCCCUAGCUGGUCUGAGAGGAUGACCAGCCACACUGGAACUGAGACACGGUCCAG